This 204-nucleotide long non-coding RNA is filed under the name Nicotiana benthamiana. RNAcentral describes it as "long non-coding RNA (NBEN_LNC028556)". The record is from RNAcentral. Lineage: Eukaryota; Viridiplantae; Streptophyta; Magnoliopsida; Solanales; Solanaceae.
UACUAUCAAGGAUUCCGAAGGGUUCAUUAGGAUUUCUAGGUUGGCUACUACUUUGAACUUGCUUAUCUUUUCUAGGUCGGGGAGCCGUGGGAGGGUAGUAUUUUGGCCACUACUUUCACCGGUUUUAGCUUUUCCUUUACCGAACAUUUUUUUUAACGAAAAUGCCAUAAUAAUUAUAAUUAAGCAAACUAACAACACAAAAAA